UAGCCGCCGCCUCCUCCCGUUGUUCCGCACUCGCUCGUCCCUCCUCCUCUAAGCCUCAUCCACCCAACCCCUAACCCUAGCAGCUCCCCGCGCCGCCGCCGCCGCCUUCUCCUUCGCCCAGCCCGCCAGACCCUCGCCGUACUCUUCCCAGGCGUCGUCGCCAUCGUCCACCACCACCACCACCGCGCCCCCACCCUCUCCCCAUCCCCGCCGGCCCCCACCCUCUCCCAAUCCCCUCAUCUUCUCUCCCAUGGCCAGUGGAUUCGCCCCUCGCGGGAUCAAUUCAUCUGAGCCAGCGGUCUACAGGGCCGGUCGGGAGCGGCAUGUCCCCCGUCUGCGCGUCGGUGGCGGCGGUCCUGCGGGUUGAGGCUGAACCCCAACGAUGUUUGGCGCUGUGUCGAGUACUUCCUUUGCCAGCGCCACCCCCACCCCUUCUCCUCCGUGUUCCUCUCACUGCCCAUCUCGCGCCGCUGCUGCACCAUAGGAGUGAAAUGCCUAUGCCACAGGUUGCUGCUCCCGGUUGGUUGCAAGGAUACGUGUUGCGGUGGUCAAUUUCUCCUAGGAAGGUUUGUCUUCAACCUCUGGAGGUUUGUCUUCGACUAUGCUCCGAGAGGUGUCACGGUCUGUGAGGAUACAGUGGGAUAGCUCCAUCUGCUAGAGUGCUAGAUGCCAACGAUGUGAUUAGGCGCACAUAUACGAGUAUGUUUAUGACGACACCUGCACCAGUCGUCGUCGUUGUUGUUUUUGCUUAUUGCCUCCCCCGAAAAUCACUUCUCUAGGUGAGGGACCCCUCUCCUUUCCUUUCGUUUGGUUUCAAUUCGUGCCUAGGAUCAAAUACAGUGAGCAAGUAGCAAAAUUAGAACGAUAACUGUCGAUUAGGAGCAUUCAUCCGGAUGGAUUUAUGAGAUGCAUAUAAUGAUGGCUCCAGUUGAAGUGAUGACAUAGCAGUAACUGAAAUAGAAAUUCAGUGAGCAUCUUCGCGUUAGAUGACAUUUAGUUUCAAUUAGCAUUGGGCACUAGCUGAUUUCAAUCUUGUUACCAUCUGUUUGGGAGCCCCCCUCUAGAGGUUGUCACGGGUGAAGUGGCAGCCACUGACUGCGUUGUAAACAACCUGAAUAGUGAGCCCGAUGAGUAGGCUAACGGUGCGGGAGAGAUCGGUUAGUACGACAGAUAGAAUGUUCAUGCAUAUUGAAAUGUGCCUUAUUGACCAAAUUUGAUAUUAACAUGUGGCGUUCACCUUACUCGCAUAUGUGGUUGCAAAGGUUGAAAAAGAGUAUGUUGAUCCGGAGCCUGAGCAAGCUAUAUUAGCACCCCCAGCCAACAAUUUGAGGCAGGGCAUGAGUUCGGAGCUUCUAGGCAGAGUUUUCAUAGAUGAAACGGGCAUGGAGGCGCAGCGUCGCAGGCUGAGGUUUCAGAUUGCUCCAAAUGAUAAAGGGAAGGAGCUGAUAGAGGAAGAAGGUGAACUCGAGUCUUCCGACGGUGAUGAAACUGGAACCACUGUAGAUGUUCUGUUUUUUCCCUUACGUUGAACAUUGUAUUAGCAGUCACAUACUUAUGGUCAUAUACUUACUAAUGCUUUGACCUGAAACUAGAACCACUGUAGAUGUUCUGUUGCCAAUAUAACGUCGUUUGCAUUUAGUUUGUCAUAAUAUUAAUUCAGGUUCUAUAGUCUGCUAGGUCAUGUUUUUUAUUUAGUUAAGUUCCCAUCUAAUUGCCUGAAUUAGUCGCGUGUUGGAGAGCAAUCUGAAAGUUAUAACAGGGAAUGCAACAAUAGUGUGAUUUAUGUUGCUGGAAGUACUGCCAAUGCUUUUGUCAUUUUUAAGGUUUGCUCUCGGUUUUGUUGGCAAGGAAUCUUUGGUCAUGAGUCCAUUGUAGAAUGGCAAUAGUUGAGCACCAAGGGACAAUCAAAAUUACUAUCAUGAUAUUUCAGGAGUAGUUGAAUGUUAAUUGGCUGGUGGCGGAACUGUUCAAGUAUGGGAAAUGAUGAGCUCUUUCUUCUUUUUAUGCCAGCUCUAUGCCGUAGGUGAGGUUGAUUCAAUAAUUGAAUGCAUAGGCUUAAACCAGAUGAUAUAGCAGUGGAAGAACAAGUUUUAUGUCUGUCGAGGUGCUUUCUUAUUUAUUUGACAUGAUAAAGCAUGGACCUUCUUGCUCGUUCGUCGGUAUGCAUCUCAGCUCCAGUAACCAGGUUGCGAUGGCUGACGAUGAGCUCCAGGUUCAUGGCUCGCCAGGCUCCUCUUCGGUCGUCCCUACGCAUCUCAGCUCCAGUAAACAGGUCGUGAUGGCUAACGAUGAGCUCCAGGUUCAUGGCUCACCAGGCUCCGCUGGCUCCACCAACAGCUAUCUAUGAACACUUGCAUAGAUUAUACUAUCGUAGCAGUCUUUACUUCUGAGCUACUCUUGCUAUGAUUCGCGCAUACUUGAUGGAAACCCAGCGACUGUUCAGGAUCCCACACAGAACAGUUCUUGACAGCCUCCUAGCACACCUUGAGUUAUCUCCAGACAAGUACAAGCGUGUUGUUCAUGAGGACGGCAAGAUCCGUGUAACCGUCUCUUUCAACACCUCUACAAUUAACCUUGGGGAACCAAUCAGCGACAUUUCUGUGCCAGGGCUUUAUUGCACCGACGAUGAGGCUGCCUAGGAUACCGCUGCAAUAAAGGCUGUCAUAUACAUAGAGGACAUGACAAACACGGUUGUCAGAGACUUGAACCUUGCUUUGUCCAAACGACAUCAGCGCCGUGCCGAGCGCUUCCCGCAGCAGUUAGAGGAGUCAAGGACCAAUAAAAGGAUGCUUGCUAGAGGUUGGCUUCUUGCCGUCAGAUACAUGCAUUACUUUUCUGUGCACAUUAGAAAUGUGGUUGCCAUGGACUACUCUGUUGGAGAUCUUCCUGACACAAUGGAAGACACAGGCUGCCGCUUGGAAGGACAUUUGGAAAAAAGGUCGCGCUAUUAGAUGGCGCCUCUCCUAAUUCACAGCUGCUCCAAUGCGUAUCAAGGUUCCAUGUGAGGCGGUCCUUGUGAAGUACAUCGACAAGGCAGAUGAAUUACGCCACUUGUUAGUAUGCUUAGUGAUUAUGGCUUCGUAGUUGGCUCUCCUUAUGUAUUCUUGCUUUUGGUAUCGAACUUCGUGUUGAAUGGUCGUCUUUUGUGGUCGGAUGAAUGCCCUGAUGUUGAUCUUGAGAUCCAUUGUGUUUUAUUUUUGUCACAAUCCAAUGUUUCUUACCUCAUUAUCAUCCUGUAUAAGUACAAAUGCUUUACUUGGGUUCCUACUGGCAUGUUGUUACAUGCUUUGGCAAAA
This is a long non-coding RNA of Triticum dicoccoides, 3296 nucleotides long. RefSeq lists it as uncharacterized. The transcript is spliced from 11 exons. Lineage: Eukaryota; Viridiplantae; Streptophyta; Magnoliopsida; Poales; Poaceae. The record is from RefSeq and is a predicted model, not a curated record.